GGAGGACCGAACCGACUAAUGUUGAAAAAUUAGCGGAUGACUUGUGGCUAGGGGUGAAAGGCCAAUCAAACCUGGAGAUAGCUGGUUCUCCCCGAAAGCUAUUUAGGUAGCGCCUCGGACGAAUACUACUGGGGGUAGAGCACUGUUAAGGCUAGGGGGUCAUCCCGACUUACCAACCCUUUGCAAACUCCGAAUACCAGUAAGUACUAUCCGGGAGACACACGGCGGGUGCUAACGUCCGUCG
This 244-nucleotide ribosomal RNA is filed under the name Vibrio parahaemolyticus. RNAcentral's name for it is "partial 23S ribosomal RNA". It matches the Rfam family "Bacterial large subunit ribosomal RNA", at positions 768 to 1010 of the family's 2925-position model. Lineage: Bacteria; Pseudomonadati; Pseudomonadota; Gammaproteobacteria; Vibrionales; Vibrionaceae. The record is from RNAcentral.